This 465-nucleotide ribosomal RNA is filed under the name Vreelandella stevensii. RNAcentral's name for it is "partial 16S ribosomal RNA". It matches the Rfam family "Bacterial small subunit ribosomal RNA", at positions 338 to 795 of the family's 1533-position model. The record is from RNAcentral. Lineage: Bacteria; Pseudomonadati; Pseudomonadota; Gammaproteobacteria; Oceanospirillales; Halomonadaceae.
CCUACGGGAGGCUGCAGUGGGGAAUAUUGGACAAUGGGCGAAAGCCUGAUCCAGCCAUGCCGCGUGUGUGAAGAAGGCCUUCGGGUUGUAAAGCACUUUCAGUGGGGAAGAAAGCCUUGGGGCUAAUACCCUCGAGGAAGGACAUCACCCACAGCAGAAGCACCGGCUAACUCCGUGCCAGCAGCCGCGGUAAUACGGAGGGUGCGAGCGUUAAUCGGAAUUACUGGGCGUAAAGCGCGCGUAGGCGGUCUGAUAAGCCGGUUGUGAAAGCCCCGGGCUCAACCUGGGAACGGCAUCCGGAACUGUCAGGCUAGAGUGCAGGAGAGGAAGGUAGAAUUCCCGGUGUAGCGGUGAAAUGCGUAGAGAUAGGGAGGAAUACCAGUGGCGAAGGCGGCCUUCUGGACUGACACUGACGCUGAGGUGCGAAAGCGUGGGUAGCAAACAGGAUUAGAUACCCGUGUAGUC